CUGGCGCGGCUCUCCAUUAGCCAGUGAGGUCCAGGGUCACGCCGAGAGGCCGGAGGGGACUCCAGGAAGCCUCGAGAAGACGGCCCCGGGCCGCGGCCACUUCUCCGCGGGGAAGUGGACACCUACUUUGCGACCCGGCUUGCGCGGAGCCCCCUCCGGGGUCGCGAGCGUGGGGGAAAAUAACAGAAUGCGGAAUCUCAACAGUUGUUUUAAUGGUGGCUAGUUCGUCCCGUUCCAGAAGGCACAAUCCUUCGCCAUGGGAUUUUGCUGCUCCCAUCCAGACGUGGAAUCUCUUCUCCACCCCCUGUAAUGCGGGCUGGCUUUUGUGACUGACUUUGACAAAUUUGAUAUAGUGGAACUGAUGUUUUCUAGUUCUGGAAUUGAGGCCUCAAGAAGCUUUGUGGCUGCCACCUUUGUCCUCUUGGAACGCCAUGCCACGCAGAAGCCCGGGAUGAAAGGUCAGGAGGAAGACGGAGGGACGCAGCUGUCUCUGCUGUUCCGAGUCCAGCUCCCCGCACCCCACUGAAUGCCGUCACACACAUGAGCCCAGGCAAAGUUGGCACAAAAAGCACACAGCCAACAGAGUCAUGAAAAAUAAAAAAAAA
Molecule: long non-coding RNA, 605 nt
Filed under: Equus asinus (donkey)
Lineage: Eukaryota; Metazoa; Chordata; Mammalia; Perissodactyla; Equidae
Description: lncRNA (ENSEASG00005032464.1)
Source: RNAcentral